This 946-nucleotide ribosomal RNA is filed under the name uncultured bacterium. RNAcentral's name for it is "bacterial SSU rRNA". It matches the Rfam family "Bacterial small subunit ribosomal RNA", at positions 451 to 1395 of the family's 1533-position model. The record is from RNAcentral.
GAGGUUAAUACCUCGCCGAUUGCGUUCCCCCCAAAGAAGCACCGGCUAAUUCCGUUCCAGCAGCGCGGUAAUACGAGGGUGCAAGCGUUAUUCGAAUUAUUGGCGUAAAGCGCCACGCAGGCGGUUCUGUUAAUUCAAAUUUAAAUUCCCCGGGCUUAACCUUGGAAACUGCAUUUGAAACUGGCAGGCUUGAGUCUCGUAGAAGGGGGGUAGAAUUCCAGGUGUAGCGGUGAAAUGCGUAGAGAUCUGGAGGAAAUACCGGUGGCGAAGGCGGCCCCCUUGGACGAAGACUGACGCUCAGGUGCGAAAGCGUGGGGAGCAAACCAGGAUUAGAUACCCUGGUAGUCCACGCCGUAAACGAUGUCGACUUGGAGGUUGUUCCCUUGAGGAGUGGCUUCCGGAGCUAACGCGUUAAGUCGACCGCCUGGGGAGUACGGCCGCAAGGUUAAAACUCAAAUGAAUUGACGGGGGCCCGCACAAGCGGUGGAGCAUGUGGUUUAAUUCGAUGCAACGCGAAGAACCUUACCUACUCUUGACAUCCAGAGAACUUAGCAGAGAUGCUUUGGUGCCUUCGGGAACUCUGAGACAGGUGCUGCAUGGCUGUCGUCAGCUCGUGUUGUGAAAUGUUGGGUUAAGUCCCGCAACGAGCGCAACCCUUAUCCUUUGUUGCCAGCGAUUCGGUCGGGAACUCAAAGGAGACUGCCGGUGAUAAACCGGAGGAAGGUGGGGAUGACGUCAAGUCAUCAUGGCCCUUACGAGUAGGGCUACACACGUGCUACAAUGGCGCAUACAAAGAGAAGCGACCUCGCGAGAGCAAGCGGACCUCACAAAGUGCGUCGUAGUCCGGAUCGGAGUCUGCAACUCGACUCCGUGAAGUCGGAAUCGCUAGUAAUCGUGGAUCAGAAUGCCACGGUGAAUACGUUCCCGGGCCUUGUACACACCGCCC